Molecule: microRNA, 22 nt
Filed under: Panagrellus redivivus
Lineage: Eukaryota; Metazoa; Nematoda; Chromadorea; Rhabditida; Panagrolaimidae
Description: prd-miR-7969-3p
Source: miRBase by way of RNAcentral
ACAAAGAUAAGGCGGCUCAGCG